RNAcentral lists this unclassified non-coding RNA (3351 nucleotides) under Venturia canescens. RNAcentral's name for it is "transducin beta-like protein 3, transcript variant X1". Lineage: Eukaryota; Metazoa; Arthropoda; Insecta; Hymenoptera; Ichneumonidae. The record is from RNAcentral.
AUAUACCAUGAGUACGAGGAAUUACCGCCAACAGCGCUGCGGAUGGUUUCAGUAUGGCAGCGUUAAUUUUUUAUUCUCAAACGUGAUUCAAGAUCAAACGUGCAUUAUUUGGAUUUUAUACCACGUGUGCAUAAAUGUAGACGAUUUAUUUUACGAGUUACGACAGUCAUUAAUAAAUAAUGAGUGCAAAUAAUCUUAAAGAAGCAUUUGCAGUCGAGGCGAAACACAGUGCAUUUUACACCGGCGGUAAAAUAUGUUGGAGUCCAGAUGGAGAUCACUUGCUGUGUCAAAAUGGUGGAUCCAUAUCAGUUUUGUUAAUAAGCAAAGGUUUGGUAAUUUGUCGUUUGGGAGAAACUCAGGAGGACCAAGAGGAAGAUACAGUCAACAGUUUUACAAUCAGUCCAGACAAUAUUCAUGCUGUCAGUCAUCACAAGAGUAGUUUAUUCAAAUUAUGGACGUGGCAAGAUGGCAAACUUGUUAAAGUAUGGAAGUCAAUACACAUAGGACCUGUAGCACAAAUAGUUUUGCAAGGCGAUGGAGAAAUAAUGGUAUCAGGGGGUAGCGACGGUGGUGUGAGACUCUGGAAUCUAAGUCAUCAAGCAUGUACGCACAGUUUCAAAGGGAUCACCGGAGUUGUGAGCGUCCUGGCUUUUCAUCCAGACCCACAAAAGGAACUUAUUUUUGCUGCUGGUGACAAUGCCCACAUACUCGCUUGGAACAUUAAAAACGGACAAAUAAAAUUGAAACUGACAGGUCAUUUCAGCAAAAUAACUUCUCUAGCAUUUCACGACGAUGGUGUUCAUUUGGUCAGUGCGGGUCGUGACAAAGUACUAAUCCUUUGGGACCUUGAAAAAGGCACGUCGAUUCGUGUCUUACCGGUGUAUGAAAGUCUUGAAGGAGUGUUUUUGGUACCAAGAGAUGGCACAUUACCCGUUGAACUUUCAACCAAGAAAUCCGAUGACAUUUAUGCUGCGGCUGCAGGGGAAAAGGGUAUUGUAAAGAUCUGGGAGAUGAGAAGCGGACGUGAAAUUUUUAGUCAGAAAAGUUCCAUUGUACCGGCUGCAAAAGAGGAAGGCGGUCUUUCUGUGACGCAAUUAAUUUUCAAUUCCGCUCUUCGAAACUUUGCUGUCAUUACUGUCGAUCACAAUAUCAUACUGCAUUCCCUUGAUACUUUUGCGUGCACUAAUCAGUUAGUCGGUUACUCCGACGAAAUUCUUGACGUCGCUUAUCUCGGUGCAUCUGACAGUCAUCUCGCUGUUGCCACCAACAGUGCAGACAUUAAACUGUAUGAAUUGACGAAAAUGAGUUGUCAACUGCUGACAGGUCAUACGGAUCUCGUUUUGGCGCUCGCGACUUCUCCAGCUAAUCGUAAUUUGCUUGUGUCUUCAGCGAAGGACAAUAGUGUUAGAAUUUGGCUGAUGAAUCCAGAAACAAUGGAAGUUUCUUGCAUCGGCUGUGGCGUUCGACACACAGCGUCGGUCGGCUCUGUAGCAAUUUCUCAAGUCACAGGACGUUUCUUUGCUUCCGUGAGUCAAGAUUCAUGUUUGAAAGUUUGGAGUUUACCUGAGAAAAUAUUACCAACAGACAGAGAUAUUGCUCUGAACGCUGAGCAUACGGUCGUGGCUCAUCAAAAAGAUAUCAACAGCGUUGCGGUUUCACCAAACGAUCGACUUAUAGCGAGUGGCUCCCAAGACAAAACAGCAAAAUUAUGGAACAGCGAGAAUUUGCAAUUGUUAGGAGUAUUUCGUGGCCAUCGACGUGGUGUAUGGUGCGUGAGAUUUUCACCAAUCGAUCAAGUUCUCUUGACCACCUCAGCUGAUUGUACCAUCAAACUUUGGUCACUUACAGAGCUUAAUUGCUUGAAGACGUUGGAGGGUCACGAAUCGUCGGUGCUUCGAGCAGAAUUUUUAUCUCGCGGUAUGCAAAUAAUAACGACCGGUGGAGAUGGGUUGCUCAAACUUUGGAGCGUCAAGACAUCAGAAUGCAUUACGACCCUCGAGGAACAUGAGAGUCGGGCUUGGGCAUUAGCAGUCAAUAAAAACGAGUCUCACGUAAUCAGCGGCGGGAGUGAUUCGUUGCUUGUAGUGUGGCGUGACGUUACGGAAGAGAACCGACUAAAAGCGACAGCUGAGCGCGAAAAACUAAUUCUUGAAGAACAAAAAUUAUCGAAUUUAUUGAAAGCCAAUGAACUCACAGAUGCGCUAAGGCUUGCCUUGAAACUCGAGCGGCCUUAUCAAGUUAUAAAAAUAGUCGAUGCGAUAAUAAAACAAGGGAAGAACCAAUUGGUCGAUGCAAUUCGGGAGCUCAAGCCGAAUCGCAAAGAAGCGCUUCUGAGAUGUGCCGUUACGUGGAACACGAACAGUCGUAAUUCUCAUGCGGCGCAGCUCGUUAUAAAUGCGCUGCUGAACGAGAUUGGAAGCGACAACUUGCAGAAUUCAGGAUUGGCUUCUUCGAUCGAGGCUAUGAUACCAUACACAGAAAGACAUUUCAAGCGUCUCACGCGGCUCAUGCAAGACCUUCAUCUACUCAAUUAUACCGUUAGCCGUAUAAAGCCGCACAACGAACGUCCGCUAAUCGAUAAUUCUACGAAUAUAUAAAUUUCAUUGCGAUGAAUAUAAUCGUCCGGAAGUAGGCGAUCGAAUUUACAAGCAGUUUUAUAUCGUAUUUUUUUUGGAAUAAAGAAUGGGAUCGUCGUUUCGUGAAGUCGAUGUCACCUCGGCGUCACUUUCGCAGUGGAAAUGGUCCAUAGCAAGUUGAAGACCAACGGCUUUCAUAUCGUUUUUUUGGAGCGCACUCGUAAUGUACAUGUGCAUUUCCAAAAAACGUUCCAUCGUCACACCGAGUUCAGCUUGUUCCAUUUCUAACUGAGAAAGGAGAUUGACGAACCAUUCGAACGAGUGUUGGUCGCGAUUGAUCCAGAAGAAAUCAACCUAUCGAAACUAGGGGGAAUCUCACUCGCCCAAGAAAAUUGACACUUUGGACACGUGUGUCUCGCCUUCCAGUACCUGUGCAUAAUCGAUCGUAAAAUCGAGGCGAAAGGUGUCACGCCGAUUCCCGUAGCUAUGAGAACAGCGUGUUGGGCUUGGAAAAUAUGACUCGAUGGAGCGCCGUAAGGACCAGCCAAGAGUAUCUGUCAAAAAUUGGAACACGGUUUUGUCGAAUCGUUACAAAAAUAUCAAAAUUGUCGAAGGGAAAAAAGUUUCAGUCAAAAAAUUGGAUGAGAAGUUGGAUUACGAUUUUUGAAUGGAAACGAAACUCUUGAGAAUGAUAUUCAGCAGUGAUAAUUACCUCUAAGGGUUUUCCAACCGGAUAAUUUAUCACCGGUUGAAAAUUAAAUUGAUUUUUUCCAUA